RNAcentral lists this transfer RNA (76 nucleotides) under Drosophila willistoni. Its description in RNAcentral is "tRNA-Tyr". It matches the Rfam family "tRNA". Rfam says of the family: Transfer RNA (tRNA) molecules are approximately 80 nucleotides in length. Their secondary structure includes four short double-helical elements and three loops (D, anti-codon, and T loops). Further hydrogen bonds mediate the characteristic L-shaped molecular structure. tRNAs have two regions of fundamental functional importance: the anti-codon, which is responsible for specific mRNA codon recognition, and the 3' end, to which the tRNAs corresponding amino acid is attached (by aminoacyl-tRNA synthetases). tRNAs cope with the degeneracy of the genetic code in two manners: having more than one tRNA (with a specific anti-codon) for a particular amino acid; and 'wobble' base-pairing, i.e. permitting non-standard base-pairing at the 3rd anti-codon position. Lineage: Eukaryota; Metazoa; Arthropoda; Insecta; Diptera; Drosophilidae. The record is from RNAcentral.
CCUUCGAUAGCUCAGUUGGUAGAGCGGUGGACUGUAGAGUUAUAGGUCGCUGGUUCAAAUCCGGCUCGAAGGAUUG